RNAcentral lists this long non-coding RNA (556 nucleotides) under Homo sapiens (human). RNAcentral's name for it is "HSALNT0340222". Lineage: Eukaryota; Metazoa; Chordata; Mammalia; Primates; Hominidae. The record is from RNAcentral.
AUCUGGAAGGCAAGAGGAAUGUCUCAGGAAGACACUCAGUGAAGGCGAGAAGGUGUCUCCUUCAAGUGUAAAUCAAUUAUUUCACAGAGUCAAACCUGUGGUUAAUAAAGCCCACAUUUUUUAAUCAACCUUGAUGCUACCAUCAGACCAAGAAAAGACAGUGGUAAAAGAAAUGACUGCUGCCUCAAGAUCUGAGGGCUCCACCUUGGAACUGCCCUCAAAACCAGACUGGACAACUAGGAGAUGGGAGCAGUAACCAAUCACAUCUCUGAGGCCUCAAGCAAGGCACUGUAUAUAAACUGUUGAACAAAAAUGAUCGCUCCCUUCAGGAGAUACGGGUCACACAUCAACAUUUAAGUACAAAGGGUGACAAAUGGUGUACCAUAAUUGGAACAUAUGUUCCCUGAACUGACAGUACUCUGUCUCUACAGCACAGUCCCUAUGAAUUAAGAUACUUACAGUGAUGAGGAAUGGUAUGCUGGAAACAGUUUUGCUAUUUUCUUCAAAUUAGCUGAAGUCAUGCUAUGUCUCAAUAAAUUAUUUCUUUCAUCACAUA